GUUAAAAAAACAAAUAGAUCAUCCCAUAAAAAAAGAUAUCUCAUGUCCUAAAACAAGAAAUAUCAUCACAUAAUUUUAUUCUCCUUUAAUCCUGAUACAAUAAACAGGAGAUGUCAUUCUAUAUAAAAAAGAGGAGAUGUCACGUAAUCUCCAUUAAUCUCUCAUCCCCACGCUGAACUUGCCAAAUUUUCUGUAGCUUUCCUUCUCUAGCACGGCAACAUUAGAUCUCCAUCUAAUCUCCAUCUAUUAUGCUAUAGCUUUCCUUCCCUAGCACGAUAAUGGCUAAUCUCCAUGUAAUUCCCCAUCUUCUACACUUUUCCGUCCAGAAUAUUCAAUCUUCCUCACCCUCGCGGCUUGGGUUCCAUCCAUGAAACCUUUGCAGGAAGGAGGAGAAGAUCGCAGAGGACGGCCCUAAUCCAGUCCACCAACACAUCUAAUUUUGUGGAUGCCAUGGAUGCAAGGACAUGCAAAUUUCUGUAGCCUUCCUUCUCUAGCACGGUAACGCUUGAUCUGCUUCUAAUUCCUCAUUCUUAUGUUGUAGCUUUCUUUCCUUAAGUCGAUAAUGUUAAUCUCAAUCUAAUUCCACAUCUUCUAUACCUUUAUGUGUAGAAUCCUCAAUCUUAUUCUCCCUCACGAGUUGAGUUCAAUUCGAGAAACCUGUGCUGGAAGAAGGCCUAGAUUGCAGACAACAGCCCUGAUCAAGUCCACCAGCACAUCUACUUUGGUGGAUCUUCUCAAAAAAAAAUCUACUUUGGUGGAAGCGAUGGAUGCAAGGACAUGCAUGUACGGAUGAUACAUGACCAGCAAGGGUGUUCAUGGGGUGGCGCAUACUUUACCCGUAGUGAUACAUGCUGCUUUUCCAUGAUGCAGAAAAUUGUCGAUGUAUUAUGUUACAGCAAACCCAUUGUUUUGUUAACGAGGGGAUCACCUAUUUUUAAACAUGUGUACAUAAUUUCUCUAUUUAUAUUUCUUUAAUUUAUCUCCAAGAUCCUCAAAAUAUUUAUAUAUUUCUACUAGCAAAAUGAAACCAGGAGUGCUGCAUACUAAAUGUAGAAUUUUGCCAAGUUCUGGUAAGUUAUUCAUUUGGCUGCUAUACAUGUGGAUGAUGACCUUUUCUGGUAAGUUAUUCAUUUUGCCAAGUUCUGGUAAGUUAUUCAUUUGGUACUCCUGCAAGGGCUACCAAGAGCAUGCUACAUAGGUAUCCUUAUGUUAAACUCCCAUUUUUACAUAAAAAAUACGGUUGAUUUUUCUUAAUUUGCUUUAUUUUUUCCAUAUGCUGGGUCAAUUUAUUAUUGGUUCAAAGUGACAAGAAAAUGAAGAUUCUAUAACUCAAGCUGACAAGACGAAGGACCAUCCCGCGAGCGCUACCGUCAUCACCCAUUCUCCCAUCCAAGCUGAUGUCGUUGACUUUUACCCCAAAGGGGACAUGAUAGCCUUUCAUGUGAUUCUGUUUAUAUCUUUCUGAUUAGUUUUCCUUAGACCAGGUAUUUUGAUUAUCUAAUAAACAUAGCCCUCUAAGUUAGGUUCAUAUCAGGACUCUAGAUGCAGGGUUAUCUCCGCCAGAUUGUUUCUGAUCAGCUAAUAGUUGAGUCCUAGCUUGAGUGUAGGAAAUCUCCAUGAACAAAUUUCUUUAGAGAAAAUAGAACAUGCGAUCAAUAGUAACAAGGUGUGAUCAAGUAUACGAGUUAUAUAUGUAUCUCUCUACUUGCAGCAGUAAAAUUUAUUCUAUUCAUGCUGCUUCAGUUUCGUUAUUGGUUUGAUAUGGGAACAAAAAAAACUUGAGAUGGGUCUAUUUUUUUGGAUGACUGGAUUUCAUAAGUUCUUAUUGACAAUAACACUGAAACUUAAGUUAUGCUAUAGAAAAUCAUACCCAAUCUGCAUAAGAUACACUUUUAGUACCAUUAGGACCUCUGACAUAUGUGUUAGAUCCAAUAAGUUUUGUUGUUACUAAUUUUGGGAUACUACUAAUCAUCUUUACUAUACCCACUGAUAUGUCUACAUGUUGCAGUAGAGUUCUCCAUUUCAUUAGGGUGGUAAUCCUUCUUAGAACAAAUAUUCUGAUAGAUUAGCAAUAUUUAGACAAUAACGUGGCCACUAUAGGAUAUUGCAAAUUUUUGGAUUACGACAACUAGGUAAAAUUAUGACAGGUGUUUCGUUUUUUUUCAUAAUGAGAUUGCAAAAGUAUUUAGAAAAAAUGCAUUACUAUUUUCCUCUUAUUUUAUAUUAUGCUUUACGGACCGAGAC
This 2244-nucleotide long non-coding RNA is filed under the name Hordeum vulgare. RNAcentral describes it as "long non-coding RNA (HVUL_LNC007196)". The record is from RNAcentral. Lineage: Eukaryota; Viridiplantae; Streptophyta; Magnoliopsida; Poales; Poaceae.